ACGGCUGUAGCUCAGAGGACGAGAGCGCGACCCUGCGACGGUCGAGGACGGGCGUUCGAGUCGCCCCAGCCGUGCCA
Molecule: transfer RNA, 77 nt
Filed under: Rhodospirillaceae bacterium
Lineage: Bacteria; Pseudomonadati; Pseudomonadota; Alphaproteobacteria; Rhodospirillales; Rhodospirillaceae
Description: tRNA-Arg
Source: RNAcentral